UGGGGGAUAACUGCCCGAAAGGGCAGCUAAUACCGCAUGAACCGAGGUGAAAGCGGGGGAUCGCAAGACCUCGCGCGGAAACGGCGAUGUCCGAUUAGCUAGUUGGUGAGGUAAAGGCUCACCAAGGCGACGAUCGGUAGCUGGUCUGAGAGGACGACCAGCCACACUGGGACUGAGACACGGCCCAGACUCCUACGGGAGGCAGCAGUGGGGAAUUUUGGACAAUGGGGGCAACCCUGAUCCAGCCAUGCCGCGUGCAGGAUGAAGGUCUUCGGAUUGUAAACUGCUUUUGUCAGGGACGAAAAGGGAUGCGAUAACACCGCAUUCCGCUGACGGUACCUGAAGAAUAAGCACCGGCUAACUACGUGCCAGCAGCCGCGGUAAUACGUAGGGUGCAAGCGUUAAUCGGAAUUACUGGGCGUAAAGCGUGCGCAGGCGGUUCUGUAAGAUAGAUGUGAAAUCCCCGGGCUCAACCUGGGAAUUGCAUAUAUGACUGCAGGACUUGAGUUUGUCAGAGGAGGGUGGAAUUCCACGUGUAGCAGUGAAAUGCGUAGAUAUGUGGAAGAACACCGAUGGCGAAGGCAGCCCUCUGGGACAUGA
Molecule: ribosomal RNA, 600 nt
Filed under: uncultured beta proteobacterium
Lineage: Bacteria; Pseudomonadati; Pseudomonadota; Betaproteobacteria
Description: bacterial SSU rRNA
Rfam family: Bacterial small subunit ribosomal RNA
Source: RNAcentral